GCAAUGCUGACUGUUCUGGUUCUGGGAUGGACUACAUUACUUGGGUUCCCAUCUGCAGCAUCCAGAGUUCCUUUGAGCAGAGGCAGCAAGUGGUUGGCUCGGAAAUGUGAAGUCUUCAUCCCUCCUCCUCUACCUCCUCCUAUGUUUCCUCCAAUCAAACAUAAAGCAGAGCUGAUGGUUGAUAUCACCAAACGCAUCACAGGACCCACUGGGGAGAAGG
Long non-coding RNA from Cyprinodon variegatus (sheepshead minnow), 220 nucleotides. RefSeq lists it as uncharacterized. The transcript is spliced from 3 exons. NCBI's taxonomy places the organism in Eukaryota, Metazoa, Chordata, Actinopteri, Cyprinodontiformes, Cyprinodontidae. The record is from RefSeq and is a predicted model, not a curated record.